UACGUAGGGUGCAAGCGUUGUCCGGAAUUACUGGGCGUAAAGGGCGCGUAGGCGGUUCUUUAAGUCCUGUGUGAAAUCCCCCGGCUCAACUUGGGAACUGCACAGGAAACUGGCGGGCUUGAGUGCGGGAGAGGGAAGCGGAAUUCCGGGUGUAGCGGUGAAAUGCGUAGAUAUCCGGAGGAACACCGGUGGCGAAGGCGGCUUCCUGGACCGACACUGACGCUGAGGCGCGAAAGCUAGGGGAGCAAACGGG
RNAcentral lists this ribosomal RNA (253 nucleotides) under uncultured bacterium. Its description in RNAcentral is "partial 16S ribosomal RNA". It matches the Rfam family "Bacterial small subunit ribosomal RNA", at positions 524 to 776 of the family's 1533-position model. The record is from RNAcentral.